GGCGGGUUUUACGAUCUUGCCAGUGAUUAGCCUAGCCGCUGUGCAAAAAGCUAAAAAUCUAAACGCUCCCUUCUGUUUCCAUUUAAGCGAAAGUGCACAGCAGUUAAAAUGGGAGAAAGAAGCUACCAGUAUCAUCAUGAAGGGCCUCCUCCAUCAUAUCACACGCUGCAUGAUCAAGCUCCUCCAAGGCCAAGUGCCCCUCCUCCUUUUUCAGAGACAGAUUUUGGUACUGGUGGGGCCAAUCCACAGCCACCAAGGGAGAAUGCUCCACUGCUACCAAACCCUCCUGAACUGAAUGCAGAAACGGAAGUGUUCAGUCUAGAGAAGUUUGUGUUUCUAUGGCUAGGAAUUGGUCAUAAAUAUUCGGGGCUGUGUCUUGUGGUGUUUUUGCUCAUAUAUGCCGGGGGAAUUGUCAUAAUUAUUACAGCAGCACUCCUUCUCCCUCACCCUUAUCCAAAUCCAGAUUAUUAUUAUUGUAAUCCUCAACAAGGUUAUAUUUUCUUCCUUCUUUCUGGAGUCUUGUUCCUUUUGAUUGGAAGUUACUGGCCAAUUGUUUACUGCUGGAAAAUAAGGCAGGGUCGCAACUUCACAAUGCUCGGCUGCUACUCGUGUGUUUUGUCAACAUUAUUUGUCUCUUGUGUGGCAGCAUUGGGCGCAACAAUCGGUCACUGUUUUGACAGUCUUUCCUUUAGUGUUAGUAUUGCUAUGGGAGUUGUUAUUUUCAUAUUUUUGUGCUGCUCUAGUGUUUGUUGUUUGUGUUGUAGCAGCAACAAAAUUGGGAGAAUUUGUUAGGUUAAAGAGACAGAUAAUUAUUUUACAUGGCAGCCAGUAUUUUAAUAAUCGUGCGUAUAUAGCAACAUAGAAUUUGUUAGGAGGUUAAAGAGACAUUUAUUAAUUUGUUAGAUUAAUUAAGUGUGUGUGUAUAAUUAUUGUGCUUCUGGAAGCUGUAAUGAUCACUAUUAAAAUUAAAAAAAUUGUGGACACUCUUUUAUUCUGGACAUCGUGUUUGCUCUUUCUGUA
Molecule: long non-coding RNA, 1020 nt
Organism: Halichondria panicea
Lineage: Eukaryota; Metazoa; Porifera; Demospongiae; Suberitida; Halichondriidae
Exons: 4
Source: RefSeq, a predicted model, not a curated record